GUACUAAGGUAGCAUAAUCAAUUGUCUUUUAAUUGAAGAAUGGAAUGAAAGAAUUAAUGAAAUAUAUACUGUCUCAAUUAUAAAAAUUAAUUUAAAUUUUUAGUUAAAAUGCUAAAUUUAAAUUAUGGGACGAUAAGACCCUAUAGAAUUUUAUAUUAAAUUAUUUAUAAUAAUUAAUUAUUAAAUUGUUAUAAAUAAUUUAAUAUUUAAUUGGGAGGAUUUAUAAAUUUAAUAAACUUUAUAUUAAUAAUUAAACUUUGAUUUAAGAAAAUUUAAUUUGAUAUAGUAGUAUUAAUUAGAAAAAAAAAUUACCUUAGGGAUAACAGCGUAAUAUCUUUUUAAAGUACAAAUUAAUAA
RNAcentral lists this ribosomal RNA (357 nucleotides) under Euglossa iopoecila. RNAcentral describes it as "partial 16S ribosomal RNA". Lineage: Eukaryota; Metazoa; Arthropoda; Insecta; Hymenoptera; Apidae. The record is from RNAcentral.